UAACCUAUCUAGCGAUAGAUAGCUGAACAAUCAGAAGUCAGCAGAAGUCAUAGUACCCUAUUUUCUCGAGAAUUAGGGGAAGGGC
Molecule: non-coding RNA, 85 nt
Organism: Bacillus sp. SA1-12
Lineage: Bacteria; Bacillati; Bacillota; Bacilli; Caryophanales; Bacillaceae
Source: Rfam